ACUCAAAGGAAUUGACGGGGGCCCGCACAAGCGGUGGAGCAUGUGGUUUAAUUCGACGCAACGCGAAGAACCUUACCAGGCCUUGACAUCCGUCCGAAAGCCCAAGAGAUUGGGCCCCCCUUCGGGGCGGGCGGACAGGUGGUGCAUGGUUGUCGUCAGCUCGUGUCGUGAGAUGUUGGGUUAAGUCCCGCAACGAGCGCAACCCUUGUUGUUAGUUGCCAUCAUUAAGUUGGGCACUCUAAUGAGACUGCCGGUGACAAACCGGAGGAAGGUGGGGACGACGUCAAAUCAUCAUGCCCUUUAUGGCCUGGGCUACACACGUGCUACAAUGGCCUGUACAGAGGGAAGCCAAGGAGCGAUCCGGAGCAAAUCCCAAAAAGCAGGUCCCAGUUCGGAUUGCAGGCUGCAACUCGCCUGCAUGAAGUCGGAAUCGCUAGUAAUCGCAGAUCAGCACGCUGCGGUGAAUACGUUCCCGGGCCUUGUACACACCGCCCGU
This 496-nucleotide ribosomal RNA is filed under the name uncultured bacterium. RNAcentral's name for it is "bacterial SSU rRNA". It matches the Rfam family "Bacterial small subunit ribosomal RNA", at positions 899 to 1397 of the family's 1533-position model. The record is from RNAcentral.